UGGCUCAGUUGGUAGAGCAUGGUGUUUGCAACGCCAGGAUUGUGGGUUUGAGUCCCAC
RNAcentral lists this transfer RNA (58 nucleotides) under Salmo salar (Atlantic salmon). It matches the Rfam family "tRNA", at positions 8 to 63 of the family's 71-position model. Rfam says of the family: Transfer RNA (tRNA) molecules are approximately 80 nucleotides in length. Lineage: Eukaryota; Metazoa; Chordata; Actinopteri; Salmoniformes; Salmonidae. The record is from Rfam by way of RNAcentral. RNAcentral also lists the same sequence under 1 other name.